This 542-nucleotide long non-coding RNA is filed under the name Nicotiana tabacum (common tobacco). RNAcentral's name for it is "long non-coding RNA (NTAB_LNC005282)". The record is from RNAcentral. Lineage: Eukaryota; Viridiplantae; Streptophyta; Magnoliopsida; Solanales; Solanaceae.
GGCGCAACACUCAGGCCCCUCCCUUCUUCUUUCUUCUUCUUCAUUUUUCCAAAGAUACACACAGAUAUCCCCUCAAAAAACGAAAAAGCAGCCUUUCCUUCAUGAUAUCCAAAAUUAGAUACCCUUCCCAUUAGAGACCAGGCGUCGUUUCCUUGAAAAAACAGAGAGAGAACAGAACUCCAUCUCCAACACCUUCAGUUGCCUCAACAGCCGUCUCCCUCGUUUUCUGCUUCGCUUCUGUCGUCGGCGAACUCACCAGAAACAUAAGAGUUGCGGUGCACUCCCCCUUCCAUCUCUCACCUUCUCACGAAUUUUCUAAGUUCAAAAGGGAUUCUCAAAUCUGAAAAUUUCAAAAAAAAAAAAGAAGAAGAAGCUGUGGUUGAAAAAUUAUUGCUGCUCUUUGUUCGGAUCUGCCGGUCUGCUGUCAGAGGUGUGUUUAGCCAUUUUGUUCAGUUUUAUUUGAAUUAUAAUUAAAAAAUGGAUUUGUUGGGUUUUACUUAUGCAGUGCUUCUGUUAGUUUUCAGGAGAAAAUUUUAAUUUCC